GUUAUCCGCUAGUUCAAUUGCGGUAAUUUCGAAUCAGUUACUUUUGCUACUAUGGAGGAAUUGUUGUUUAGUUCAUUUGAGGAUUGAAAUUGUUACAUUUCAUAGCAAGAUUUGUGUGGAAUAAUUGGUUUCGAGGUCUGAGUUUUUACUGAGGAAGUUGUUAAAUGGAGAAAAAGAAAUAAAAUCUUGAAAUGAUUAGUAGAGAUUUUUCAUGGGUCUUGAUUUUGCUUGAGAUCUGAGUUUCUUUUUCCAAUUUGUUUGGUAGAUAGAUGACUUUGAAUUUUCAAGGUUUGCAGAUUUUGGACCUGCAAUAUCCGGUGCAAACAAAUUGCAUCUUUUCCCAAUAUGGUUGUCUAGCUAGGUAGCCAAUCUAGCAUUUGCCCUGCUUGAAACCAUUGAAUUUCUGGAAUGACUAAUCUCUCUAGAGUGUAAUAUAUAUCAUAAACUAGUAACAACUUUUCUUUAAUGAAUUAGAGAACGAGAUAUGCUGAAAGAAAGACAUGUUGUGAUAUCCCGCCCCCAACUUUGAAGCUUACUUGGAUUAUUGUCUUUGAGUUAGACUUUUUAAAAUGUUAUGUUCCUUAAAUUUGUGGUGUUUUAUUGCUAAUUUUCUGUUUUAUAUAUAUAUAUGAUAUUUGUUUUUAUCUAUUGUUACUUUUUAUUUAUUUAUGUAAUGGUUAAGAGAGAGGAAGGAGUGGGUUUUGGUUGCUGACGGUGGGGGGUGGGGGAGAAAAGAAAGAGAGAGAUGGAAACCAAAAAGAAGAGGAAGAGAACGGGAAAAGGAAAGGGAGAAGAGGGAGAUGAAAAGAGGAAGAAGAAAGAAAAGAGAGGGGAGGGGAAAACGACUAGUUGAAAAAGAAAGAAGAAUGAGAAGUAGAAAGGAGGAGACGGAGAGGGAUUGAGAAGAGAGAAUUUGAGAGUUUGGGGUUUUCUCAAAGGCUGCGAUUGGGUAUUUCUAGAUUAGAGGAGAGUGAAGCUAUAGAAUUGUAUGAGUUUUGAUUGAGAGUUAGAAGAAGAAGAAGAAGAAGAAGAAGAAGGAUAAAUGAAUGGGAAUGAGAGUCUAAUUUUUCUGCUCUUGAAACUAAACUAUCAGAGGGCAAUGGAGGAAGUUUUCAUAAGUGAAAGGUUUCCAUUCAGGUUGUUUAGCUUCUACGGUUGUCUUGCUUUAGUGAGAAUGCUCAGGGAAUAACUACUGCUUCUGCAAGAGCCCGCACAAAGACAUUGUCAAAUUUCAUCAAAUCACUAAACAAGUUGCAUCUUGCAUGCCAAUUGCGGGAGUGAGACAUUUUUGUUGAAGCCAGAAACAGUUGAAGACUAAGAGCUAUCGAAAAUAGGAAUGUUUUUUAUUCUUGUAUAGCUAACUGGGAAUGCUCUUGUUUAGUGCAUUAUCUAGUUACUUGAAUGUAUGAAUGCUUGAAUAAUGGUACUUGAAUGAUAUGGAUUAGAGUAGUAUUUAUAUGGUAA
Molecule: long non-coding RNA, 1464 nt
Organism: Rosa chinensis
Lineage: Eukaryota; Viridiplantae; Streptophyta; Magnoliopsida; Rosales; Rosaceae
Exons: 3
Source: RefSeq, a predicted model, not a curated record